RNAcentral lists this ribosomal RNA (425 nucleotides) under Biomphalaria straminea. RNAcentral describes it as "partial 16S ribosomal RNA". It matches the Rfam family "Bacterial large subunit ribosomal RNA", at positions 1887 to 2608 of the family's 2925-position model. The record is from RNAcentral. Lineage: Eukaryota; Metazoa; Mollusca; Gastropoda; Planorbidae.
CGGGGAAUCGUCGUGAUUCUGCCCAGUGAUUUUUUUUUAAAUGGCCGCAGUACCUUGACUGUGCUAAGGUAGCAUAAUCAAUUGGCUUCUAAUUAAAGUCUGGAAUGAAAGGAAAUAUGAAGUAAUUCUAUCUUAAAGGAUUUUUUUUGAAUUUAUUUAAAUGAUGAAAAUAUCAUUUUAUAGAAAAAAGACGAGAAGACCCUUAGAGUUUUGAUAUUUAUAUAUUUUUGUUGGGGCGACAGGUAAACAUAUAACUUUACGAAUUAUCAUUGAUCGAUUUUUUAUAAGAAUAAUAAAACUACCUUAGGGAUAACAGCAUUAUAUUUUUUUUUAUGAUUGUGACCUCGAUGUUGGACUAGGAACUUUAUGGCUAGCCGUCAAAAAAGAUUUGUUCUGUUCGAACAAUUUUAUCCUACGUGAUCUGA